RNAcentral lists this transfer RNA (76 nucleotides) under Pseudomonas sp. GD03869. Its description in RNAcentral is "tRNA-Thr". It matches the Rfam family "tRNA". Rfam says of the family: Transfer RNA (tRNA) molecules are approximately 80 nucleotides in length. Lineage: Bacteria; Pseudomonadati; Pseudomonadota; Gammaproteobacteria; Pseudomonadales; Pseudomonadaceae. RNAcentral also lists the same sequence under 2 other names. The record is from RNAcentral.
GCCGGUGUAGCUCAGUUGGUAGAGCAGCGCAUUCGUAAUGCGAAGGUCACAGGUUCGACUCCUGUCUCCGGCACCA